Canis lupus familiaris (dog) is the source of this 1483-nucleotide long non-coding RNA. RefSeq lists it as uncharacterized. The transcript is spliced from 3 exons. NCBI's taxonomy places the organism in Eukaryota, Metazoa, Chordata, Mammalia, Carnivora, Canidae. The record is from RefSeq and is a predicted model, not a curated record.
CUCUGCCCAGGCUUGGCUGCCAGGAAGGCGGUUUCACACCAACUCUGGUGUGCUUCUCCAUGGCCAAGCCCUCGGCUCCCAGGAAAGUUGCGGCCGUCCAGGUCCAUGGAGAAUGCUGGCCCCGGGAAGGGGCAGCUGGAUUGGCCAACCGUGGCCAAAGGCUACAUUCCUUUUAUCGCCAGGAGUCACCUUGGCGACUACGUCCUGCCAACCAGAACUCCAAGCUGUUCGACUCCUCUGCAGUGGGCAGAGCAGGACGAGAGCUCCCGGGACCCGGUGUGGAAGGACGGAAGAGCCAGAGUCAUUCGGGAAGAGCGGGGCACACCGAGGCAGCAGGCUAGGGGGGCCGGGCUGGGCGCCGCCGAGGCCGCGGGCGGGUUCGGGGUUCCCGAGGACAGGGACGCCGCUGGGGCCGCUCUCCGUCGCCGGCAGCAGUGCGGCAGCCUCCGGUUUAGUUUGGCCAAGGGGGCUCUGGGUCCUCCUCUCCCGCCUCUGUCCCAAGGACCCCAGCGACCGCGUGACUGGCGCCCGCCCCAACCUGCAGCCCGCCUCGCCGGUCCCGAGCCAAGCUGGAAUUGGUUAGACCGCCAGCUCCGGCGCGGAGACCACACAGGCGCCGCCGGAGGGCAAGGCUGACCACCGCGCUGCGACUUUAUUGUGGGCUACCGCCUCCCCAGGGAUCCCCGCAGGCUCCCACGGCCUCAGCACACCGCGAUGCUCGGUACUUCCAAGUGCAGGGGUGUCUCCUCCGGACCCCGAGGCAGCCGCACAGCUGCAGCUUACCCCUGGGGACUAAAGAUGUAAAGGAACGAAGUGAAAACCAGGCGAGACCAACUCGACUCCCUCCCUUUCUCCUUGGCUCAGAGUGGUGCCCAGGCGCCCCACCUCAGCGCCCGGAUUUAGGAUUUCCGAGUUAAAUCGAAGUUGGCGGCGCACAGCCAAGCAUCGGAGCAAGACAGGAGAGCAAUCAAGCCGGGCCAGAGAAAACGAAAGUAGCUCUGGACCUGGGGUCUCUGCGCUGCCUCCGGCAGAUGCACAAGGGAGCCCUCCCGCGAGAAGAGUUUACAUAUUGUGUGAAGUUUUAAACACGCGUAUUUAACUUACACACCAAAAAGUUAGCAAGCCCUAAAUGGAUUCGGGCCUGGGCGCCUACGACGAUGAGGCACCCAGUUCCUCAGCGGCCAUUUCCCCGAGUGGCCAAAAGGCCUCGAAAAGAAAGUUCAUGGUGCCUAAAAAUUGCGUCUAGAGGUUUAGGGUGUGUAAUUAUGGUUUCAGUCCUCAGAUGCUGUUUGGAGGCUGCUCGGAGAAGGCGAUAAGGGAUCAGCCUGAGAUGUUUCUUUUUCAACUGCCAAAUAUGGAUAUGUCUAAUUUCAAGACCUUCCAAGAGUAGAUAUUUAUAACCGUCUUUCUAGGAAGAACACCUUCAAGCCAGCACAAUUUCGUAUACCCAGACACAAACAUACAUGUUGAUUUAAAAAAAAAU